UUGCAUCCCAAUAAAGAACUGCCACUCCCCCCUCCUGUCACACGGUUCAAAGGAGCUGUCCCAGCGCUAGGUGACUGUAUCCCCUGCUCUGACACCCCAGCCCCAAGCUGGACAUCAGAUCUACACCCGAAAAUCUGGAAUCGACAGAGGAAUGCUGGCCUCUGUGCUGACUUGCCUGACCAGCAAUAUAGGGCUUGUCAAUCUCUAGGUCACUUGUUCAGAGGAAGAUCUGCCCACACAUAAUGACCAGCACUGAGCAGCCUGGAGCAAACAAAAGAACAGACCCCAAAUUGCAGAAGAUCAAAGUCUGAAGGUUCCUGGGGUCAGUCCGCAAGGACAGCACUCCAGGAUGAAAGCCAGCAAUUUUUGAGAAUUCAUGGAGAACAGAAGAAGAAUCAGACUGGGGACAAACAUCCCAAGCUUCAUAUACAGGAAAAGGAUCGUGCUUAUUACUCAAGGAAGUCGUGAGCACUGGAAACCAAGGAAGAUUCACUCGGAACAACGUAGGAUAACGAUGCAAAUUAUUAAGAAGAAUAUUUUAAAGGCAACAGAAUCGUGGGGUUUUGUUAACCUUGUGUAAAAUCUCUGACCAUCUGAGCUGCCAGGGAAUGCUCACGUCCAGCCUCAGUUCUUCCACAGCUGACCUCUAAGUGACUGCAGAGCUUGGUUAGAUUUGUUUCAGGAAGACACAGACACGGUUUUCAACAUGGCUGGGAGAUAAAAUGCAGAGCUAUGCAGUUGAACACAGGGCUCAAGGUACACCACACCUGGCCCACUCAGGUAUGUGUUACCUGGAAAUCCACAAUAAUGCUCAGUGUUAAGGCGGGCUUUGGAUUAUUCAAUAUUCUUUUUUUUUUUUUAAGUUUUAUUUACUUAUUUUUGAGAGAGAGAGAGAAAGAGUGUG
Lynx canadensis (Canada lynx) is the source of this 904-nucleotide long non-coding RNA. RefSeq lists it as uncharacterized. NCBI's taxonomy places the organism in Eukaryota, Metazoa, Chordata, Mammalia, Carnivora, Felidae. The record is from RefSeq and is a predicted model, not a curated record. The transcript has 3 exons.